RNAcentral lists this small nucleolar RNA (131 nucleotides) under Calypte anna (Anna's hummingbird). RNAcentral describes it as "Small nucleolar RNA SNORA5". It matches the Rfam family "Small nucleolar RNA SNORA5". Rfam says of the family: ACA5 is a member of the H/ACA class of snoRNA that guide the sites of modification of uridines to pseudouridines. Lineage: Eukaryota; Metazoa; Chordata; Aves; Apodiformes; Trochilidae. The record is from Rfam by way of RNAcentral.
UGCAGCCCUGUCAAAUUCGAUCCCAGCACUUCCAUGGUUGGGAUUGGCCAAAUGGCUGCCACAGCAUCUUCUGUCCUGCACCAGCCUCCUGUCCCCCACCCCGUGGGACACCAAGGGCUGAGGUGACACCA